GCUCCCUGACCUGUGCCUGUCCUUCCAGGAGCAGGGAUGAGGGAAACCCUCUCUCCGUACCCAGAGCAGCUCCUGUCCUGCCCUGCCCAGCCCGGCCUCCACGGGCAAGUUCCAGCCUGAGCCGAGGUUUUUGCUGCUGUGUGACCCAUCCCCCGUGUCAGUCACGCUGGGCAGGGCAGGUCUGAUCUGGUCUCCUCUGCCUGAGUUUCCUCCUGCCUCCCUCAGACUGCGGGAUCUUGUGGGGAGAGGUCACGGCUGCCCAGCCGACAGCUCCUGCUGGGAGGAUGUGGAAAUCUCCCUCCACCAGCGCCUGCUUGCUUGUCCCCAGGGCUGGACCAUCCCCCAGCAGCAGCUGGAGGGCACUGCAGACAAUCUGUUCCCAACGGCCUGUGAAGGGAAGGGAUGAGGUGGAGGACUGAGCCAGGGGAGGUCACUCACCCCAGCCCAUCAGUGCCUCAGCCUCAGAGCUGCUCCCAGAUGCUGGAUUAAAGGGUUUCUUUUUUAAA
Long non-coding RNA from Pseudopipra pipra, 506 nucleotides. RefSeq lists it as uncharacterized. The record is from RefSeq and is a predicted model, not a curated record. The transcript is spliced from 2 exons. Lineage: Eukaryota; Metazoa; Chordata; Aves; Passeriformes; Pipridae.